Molecule: ribosomal RNA, 497 nt
Filed under: uncultured bacterium
Lineage: Bacteria
Description: partial 16S ribosomal RNA
Rfam family: Bacterial small subunit ribosomal RNA
Source: RNAcentral
GAUGAACGCUGGCGGCGUGCCUAAUACAUGCAAGUCGAGCGAACAGAUAAGGAGCUUGCUCCUUUGACGUUAGCGGCGGACGGGUGAGUAACACGUGGGUAACCUACCUAUAAGACUGGGAUAACUUCGGGAAACCGGAGCUAAUACCGGAUAAUAUUUCGAACCGCAUGGUUCGAUAGUGAAAGAUGGUUUUGCUAUCACUGAUAGAUGGACCCGCGCCGUAUUAGCUAGUUGGUAAGGUAACGGCUUACCAAGGCGACGAUACGUAGCCGACCUGAGAGGGUGAUCGGCCACACUGGAACUGAGACACGGUCCAGACUCCUACAGGAGGCAGCAGUAGGGAAUCUUCCGCAAUGGGCGAAAGCCUGACGGAGCAACGCCGCGUGAGUGAUGAAGGUCUUCGGAUCGUAAAACUCUGUUAUUAGGGAAGAACAUACGUGUAAGUAACUGUGCACGUCUUGACGGUACCUAAUCAGAAAGCCACGGCUAACUACGUG